UACAGAGGUGGCUAGCGUUGUCCGGAUUUACUGGGCGUAAAGAGCGCGCAGGCGGUCGUUCAAGUCGAGUGUGAAAGCCCCCGGCUCAACUGGGGAGGGUCACGCGAUACUGAUCGACUGGAAGGCAGGAGAGGGUAGUGGAAUUCCCGGUGUAGUGGUGAAAUGCGUAGAUAUCGGGAGGAACACCAGUGGCGAAGGCGACUACCUGGCCUGUUCUUGACGCUGAGGCGCGAAAGCUAGGGGAGCAAACGGG
This 253-nucleotide ribosomal RNA is filed under the name uncultured bacterium. RNAcentral describes it as "partial 16S ribosomal RNA". It matches the Rfam family "Bacterial small subunit ribosomal RNA", at positions 524 to 776 of the family's 1533-position model. The record is from RNAcentral.